RNAcentral lists this ribosomal RNA (459 nucleotides) under uncultured bacterium. RNAcentral describes it as "partial 16S ribosomal RNA". It matches the Rfam family "Bacterial small subunit ribosomal RNA", at positions 338 to 795 of the family's 1533-position model. The record is from RNAcentral.
CCUACGGGUGGCAGCAGUGAGGAAUAUUGGUCAAUGGGCGGGAGCCUGAACCAGCCAAGCCGCGUGAGGGAAGAAGGUACAGCGUAUUGUAAACCUCUUUUGUCAGGGAACAAAGGCGGGGACUAGUCCCUGGAUGAGGGUACCUGAAGAAAAAGCAUCGGCUAACUCCGUGCCAGCAGCCGCGGUAAUACGGAGGAUGCGAGCGUUAUCCGGAUUUAUUGGGUUUAAAGGGUGCGCAGGCGGCCUGUUAAGUCAGCGGUAAAAGCCCGGGGCUCAACCCCGGCGAGCCGUUGAAACUGGCGGGCUGGAGUGGGAGAGAAGUACGCGGAAUGCGCGGUGUAGCGGUGAAAUGCUUAGAUAUCGCGCAGAACCCCGAUUGCGAAGGCAGCGUACCGGCUCCACACUGACGCUGAGGCACGAAAGCGUGGGUAUCGAACAGGAUUAGAUACCCGGGUAGUC